AACCCAUGAUGAGGGCACCUUCUCAAUAAGUCCUUGCAUCUCUCCCGUGUAUCAUAUAAAGUCUUUAAAUCGAUCUGCACAAAGGUAGAGAUGUCAUUCCUCAACUU
Molecule: non-coding RNA, 107 nt
Organism: Gossypium hirsutum (cotton)
Lineage: Eukaryota; Viridiplantae; Streptophyta; Magnoliopsida; Malvales; Malvaceae
Source: Rfam